UACGUAGGUGGCAAGCGUUGUCCGGAUUUACUGGGCGUAAAGGAUGCGUAGGCGGAUGUUUAAGUGAGAUGUGAAAUACCCGAGCUCAACUUGGGUGCUGCAUUUCAAACUGGAUAUCUAGAGUGCGGGAGAGGAAAGCGGAAUUCCUAGUGUAGCGGUGAAAUGCGUAGAGAUUAGGAAGAACACCAGUGGCGAAGGCGUCUUUCUGGACCGUAACUGACGCUGAGGCAUGAAAGCGUGGGGAGCAAACAGG
This 253-nucleotide ribosomal RNA is filed under the name uncultured bacterium. Its description in RNAcentral is "partial 16S ribosomal RNA". It matches the Rfam family "Bacterial small subunit ribosomal RNA", at positions 524 to 776 of the family's 1533-position model. The record is from RNAcentral.